Molecule: ribosomal RNA, 248 nt
Filed under: uncultured bacterium
Lineage: Bacteria
Description: partial 16S ribosomal RNA
Rfam family: Bacterial small subunit ribosomal RNA
Source: RNAcentral
AUACGUAGGGGGCUAAGCGUUAUCCGGAUUUACUGGGUGUAAAGGGAGCGUAGACGGCGUAGUAAGUCUGGUGUGAAAGCCCAGGGCUCAACCCUGGGACUGCAUUGGAAACUAUUAUGCUAGAGUGCAGGAGAGGUAAGUGGAAUUCCUAGUGUAGCGGUGAAAUGCGUAGAUAUUAGGAGGAACACCAGUGGCGAAGGCGGCUUACUGGACUGUAACUGACGUUGAGGCUCGAAAGCGUGGGGAGC